GGGUCAGUAGGUCGGUCAUGCCACUGGUAUGCACUGGUCUCACUGAUUCCUCCCUUCUGAAGAACCGUUAUGCCAUUUAUUUGGUGUGAUGGGGAAUCAGGACUGUUACUUUGAAAAAAGUAGAGUGUUUAAAGCAGGCUCACGCUUGAAUACAUUAGCAUGGAAUAAUGAAAUAGGACGUUUGAUUCUAUUUUGUUGGUUUCUAGGAUCGACGUA
RNAcentral lists this ribosomal RNA (216 nucleotides) under Campeiostachys nutans. Its description in RNAcentral is "Elymus nutans partial small subunit ribosomal RNA". The stretch from base 40 to 216 matches the Rfam family "Eukaryotic small subunit ribosomal RNA", at positions 686 to 864 of the family's 1831-position model. Lineage: Eukaryota; Viridiplantae; Streptophyta; Magnoliopsida; Poales; Poaceae. The record is from RNAcentral.